RNAcentral lists this ribosomal RNA (1552 nucleotides) under Salmonella enterica subsp. enterica. RNAcentral describes it as "partial 23S ribosomal RNA". It matches the Rfam family "Bacterial large subunit ribosomal RNA", at positions 711 to 2159 of the family's 2925-position model. Lineage: Bacteria; Pseudomonadati; Pseudomonadota; Gammaproteobacteria; Enterobacterales; Enterobacteriaceae. The record is from RNAcentral.
AGACCCGAAACCCGGUGAUCUAGCCAUGGGCAGGUUGAAGGUUGGGUAACACUAACUGGAGGACCGAACCGACUAAUGUUGAAAAAUUAGCGGAUGACCUGUGGCUGGGGGUGAAAGGCCAAUCAAACCGGGAGAUAGCUGGUUCUCCCCGAAAGCUAUUUAGGUAGCGCCUCGUGAACUCAUCUCCGGGGGUAGAGCACUGUUUCGGCUAGGGGGCCAUCCCGGCUUACCAACCCGAUGCAAACUGCGAAUACCGGAGAAUGUUAUCACGGGAGACACACGGCGGGUGCUAACGUCCGUCGUGAAGAGGGAAACAACCCAGACCGCCAGCUAAGGUCCCAAAGUCAUGGUUAAGUGGGAAACGAUGUGGGAAGGCCCAGACAGCCAGGAUGUUGGCUUAGAAGCAGCCAUCAUUUAAAGAAAGCGUAAUAGCUCACUGGUCGAGUCGGCCUGCGCGGAAGAUGUAACGGGGCUAAACCAUGCACCGAAGCUGCGGCAGCGAACGUAUCACCCAAGACAACUUUGCGGAGUUGACGAUUGACGGAGCGAAGCGACGUCAAAGCGUUCAUUAAAGUCGAGUUGGCUUAGGGAUACGUUCGUUGGGUAGGGGAGCGUUCUGUAAGCCAGUGAAGGUGUGUCGUGAGGCAUGCUGGAGGUAUCAGAAGUGCGAAUGCUGACAUAAGUAACGAUAAAGCGGGUGAAAAGCCCGCUCGCCGGAAGACCAAGGGUUCCUGUCCAACGUUAAUCGGGGCAGGGUGAGUCGACCCCUAAGGCGAGGCCGAAAGGCGUAGUCGAUGGGAAACGGGUUAAUAUUCCCGUACUUGGUGUUACUGCGAAGGGGGGACGGAGAAGGCUAUGUUGGCCGGGCGACGGUUGUCCCGGUUUAAGCGUGUAGGUGUGUGUUCCAGGUAAAUCCGGUUCACUUUAACACUGAGGCGUGAUGACGAGGCACUACGGUGCUGAAGCAACAAAUGCCCUGCUUCCAGGAAAAGCCUCUAAGCAUCAGGUAACAUCAAAUCGUACCCCAAACCGACACAGGUGGUCAGGUAGAGAAUACCAAGGCGCUUGAGAGAACUCGGGUGAAGGAACUAGGCAAAAUGGUGCCGUAACUUCGGGAGAAGGCACGCUGAUAUGUAGGUGAAGCGGUUUACCCGUGGAGCUGAAAUCAGUCGAAGAUACCAGCUGGCUGCAACUGUUUAUUAAAAACACAGCACUGUGCAAACACGAAAGUGGACGUAUACGGUGUGACGCCUGCCCGGUGCCGGAAGGUUAAUUGAUGGGGUCAGCGCAAGCGAAGCUCCUGAUCGAAGCCCCGGUAAACGGCGGCCGUAACUAUAACGGUCCUAAGGUAGCGAAAUUCCUUGUCGGGUAAGUUCCGACCUGCACGAAUGGCGUAAUGAUGGCCAGGCUGUCUCCACCCGAGACUCAGUGAAAUUGAACUCGCUGUGAAGAUGCAGUGUACCCGCGGCAAGACGGAAAGACCCCGUGAACCUUUACUAUAGCUUGACACUGAACAUUGAGCCUUGAUGUGUAGGAUAGGUGGGAGGCUUUG